RNAcentral lists this ribosomal RNA (253 nucleotides) under uncultured bacterium. RNAcentral's name for it is "partial 16S ribosomal RNA". It matches the Rfam family "Bacterial small subunit ribosomal RNA", at positions 524 to 776 of the family's 1533-position model. The record is from RNAcentral.
UACGAAGGGGGCUAGCGUUGCUCGGAAUCACUGGGCGUAAAGCGCACGUAGGCGGAUUUUUAAGUCAGGGGUGAAAUCCUGGAGCUCAACUCCAGAACUGCCUUUGAUACUGGGAAUCUCGAGUCCGGAAGAGGUGAGUGGAACUGCGAGUGUAGAGGUGAAAUUCGUAGAUAUUCGCAAGAACACCAGUGGCGAAGGCGGCUCACUGGCCCGUAACUGACGCUGAGGCACGAAAGCUAGGGGAGCAAACAGG